RNAcentral lists this ribosomal RNA (497 nucleotides) under uncultured bacterium. RNAcentral's name for it is "partial 16S ribosomal RNA". It matches the Rfam family "Bacterial small subunit ribosomal RNA", at positions 28 to 507 of the family's 1533-position model. The record is from RNAcentral.
GACGAACGCUGGCGGCGUGCCUAAUACAUGCAAGUAGAACGCUGAAGAGAGGAGCUUACUCUUCUUGGAUGAGUUGCGAACGGGUGAGUAACGCGUAGGUAACCUGCCUUGUAGCGGGGGAUAACUAUUGGAAACGAUAGCUAAUACCGCAUAACAAUGGAUGACACAUGUCAUUUAUUUGAAAGGGGCAAUUGCUCCACUACAAGAUGGACCUGCGUUGUAUUAGCUAGUAGGUGAGGUAAUGGCUCACCUAGGCGACGAUACAUAGCCGACCUGAGAGGGUGGUCGGCCAAACUGGGACUGAGACACGGCCCAGACUCCUAAGGGAGGCAGCAGUAGGGAAUCUUCGGCAAUGGGGGCAAACCUGACCGAGCAACGCCGCGUGAGGGAAGAAGGGUUUCGGAUCGUAAAGCUCUGUUGUAAGUCAAGAACGGGUGUGAGAGUGGAAAGUUCACACUGUGACGGUAGCUUACCAGAAAGGGACGGCUAACUACGUG